AACGAACGCUGGCGGCAUGCCUAACACAUGCAAGUCGAACGAGACCUUCGGGUCUAGUGGCGCACGGGUGCGUAACGCGUGGGAAUCUGCCCUUGGGUUCGGAAUAACAGUUAGAAAUGACUGCUAAUACCGGAUAAUGUCUUCGGACCAAAGAUUUAUCGCCCAGGGAUGAGCCCGCGUAGGAUUAGCUAGUUGGUGAGGUAAAGGCUCACCAAGGCGACGAUCCUUAGCUGGUCUGAGAGGAUGAUCAGCCACACUGGGACUGAGACACGGCCCAGACUCCUACGGGAGGCAGCAGUGGGGAAUAUUGGACAAUGGGCGAAAGCCUGAUCCAGCAAUGCCGCGUGAGUGAUGAAGGCCUUAGGGUUGUAAAGCUCUUUUACCCGGGAUGAUAAUGACAGUACCGGGAGAAUAAGCCCCGGCUAACUCCGUGCCAGCAGCCGCGGUAAU
This 450-nucleotide ribosomal RNA is filed under the name uncultured bacterium. RNAcentral's name for it is "bacterial SSU rRNA". It matches the Rfam family "Bacterial small subunit ribosomal RNA", at positions 29 to 524 of the family's 1533-position model. The record is from RNAcentral.